UUGUCUCAAAGAUUAAGCCAUGCAUGUCUCAGUACGAGCCGUAUUAAGGUGAAACCGCGAAAGGCUCAUUAAAUCAGUUAUGGUUCCUUAGAUCGUACCCACAUUUACUUGGAUAACUGUGGUAAUUCUAGAGCUAAUACAUGCAAACAGAGCUCCGACCGGAGACGGAAGGAGCGCUUUUAUUAGAUCAAAACCAAUCGGUGGCGGGCUUGCCCGUCAUCGUACACCUUGGUGACUCUGAAUAACUUUUUGCUGAUCGCACGGUCUCGCACCGGCGACGCAUCUUUCAAAUGUCUGCCUUAUCAACUGUCGAUGGUAGGUUCUGCGCCUACCAUGGUUGUAACGGGUAACGGGGAAUCAGGGUUCGAUUCCGGAGAGGGAGCCUGAGAAACGGCUACCACAUCCAAGGAAGGCAGCAGGCGCGCAAAUUACCCACUCCCGGCACGGGGAGGUAGUGACGAAAAAUAACGAUACGGGACUCAUCCGAGGCCCCGUAAUCGGAAUGAGUACACUCUAAACCCUUUAACGAGGAUCAAUUGGAGGGCAAGUCUGGUGCCAGCAGCCGCGGUAAUUCCAGCUCCAAUAGCGUAUAUUAAAGUUGUUGCGGUUAAAAAGCUCGUAGUCGAAUUUGUGUCCCGCGCCGCCGGUUCAUCGCUCGCGGUGUUUAACUGGCGUGUCCGCGGGACGUCCUGCCGGUGGGCUCAGUCCCUUCGGGGGCGGCCCAACUUCAAAUCCCACCGCGGUGCUCUUUACCGAGUGUCGAGGUGGGCCGGCACGUUUACUUUGAACAAAUUAGAGUGCUUAAAGCAGGCUAAAACUUCGCCUGAAUACUGUGUGCAUGGAAUAAUGGAAUAGGACCUCGGUUCUAUUUUGUUGGUUUUCGGAACUCCGAGGUAAUGAUUAAUAGGAACGGAUGGGGGCAUUCGUAUUGCGACGUUAGAGGUGAAAUUCUUGGAUCGUCGCAAGACGGACAGAAGCGAAAGCAUUUGCCAAAAACGCUUUCAUUGAUCAAGAACGAAAGUUAGAGGUUCGAAGGCGAUCAGAUACCGCCCUAGUUCUAACCAUAAACGAUGCCAGCUAGCGAUCCGCCGACGUUCCUCCGAUGACUCGGCGGGCAGCUUCCGGGAAACCAAAGCUUUUGGGUUCCGGGGGAAGUAUGGUUGCAAAGCUGAAACUUAAAGGAAUUGACGGAAGGGCACCACCAGGAGUGGAGCCUGCGGCUUAAUUUGACUCAACACGGGAAACCUCACCAGGCCCGGACACYGGAAGGAUUGACAGAUUGACAGCUCUUUCUUGAUUCGGUGGGUGGUGGUGCAUGGCCGUUCUUAGUUGGUGGAGCGAUUUGUCUGGUUAAUUCCGAUAACGAACGAGACU
Molecule: ribosomal RNA, 1374 nt
Filed under: Varencya sp. BMNH 671503
Lineage: Eukaryota; Metazoa; Arthropoda; Insecta; Coleoptera; Scarabaeidae
Description: SSU rRNA
Rfam family: Eukaryotic small subunit ribosomal RNA
Source: RNAcentral